GGCGGGAUAGCUCAGUAGGUAGAGCACGUGAUUGAAGCUCACGGUGUCCUCGGUUCGAAUCCGAGUCCCGCCA
This 73-nucleotide transfer RNA is filed under the name Rubrobacter sp. Its description in RNAcentral is "tRNA-Phe". It matches the Rfam family "tRNA". Rfam says of the family: Transfer RNA (tRNA) molecules are approximately 80 nucleotides in length. Their secondary structure includes four short double-helical elements and three loops (D, anti-codon, and T loops). Further hydrogen bonds mediate the characteristic L-shaped molecular structure. tRNAs have two regions of fundamental functional importance: the anti-codon, which is responsible for specific mRNA codon recognition, and the 3' end, to which the tRNAs corresponding amino acid is attached (by aminoacyl-tRNA synthetases). tRNAs cope with the degeneracy of the genetic code in two manners: having more than one tRNA (with a specific anti-codon) for a particular amino acid; and 'wobble' base-pairing, i.e. permitting non-standard base-pairing at the 3rd anti-codon position. The record is from RNAcentral. Lineage: Bacteria; Bacillati; Actinomycetota; Rubrobacteria; Rubrobacterales; Rubrobacteraceae.